AUCACACUUUUAAAUAUAAAUGCCAUGUAAAUAAGAUUUUAAUACAAAUGAUGACCCACUUUUAAAUGGUUGCUUGCAGUUUUUAAGUGUGUUUAGGCUGCAGUGGGAAAAAUGAAGAUUUAUACAAGCCUAGCUUAACAUCUGGAAUAAAAGAAUUCUAGGUUGCCUUUUUGUAUUGAAAGUAUUUUUAUAUUGAAAAAAACAGAUUAGUAUCUUUGUUUUACCCAAGAACCACAAGCUACUUUGUUCCAACUUUUAAAUCAAGAUCUUGAAUAAUAGCAUGUGGUAUCACUACAUUUUAAAAAUACACUUAGUCAAUCACACACAUUUUCUAAGGAAUUGAAUUUUAUGGAGAUAAUUGAAUGCUUUCAUCUGUAACAGAAUUAGUGGCCUGCAAACCACUGUGGUUUCUUGCUGUGCUCUGAAGUUGUUAAAGGGGGAAUUUUCUGCUACAAGUUACAUGCAUAAAGGAAGUAUGAGGCAAAGGAAAAUUCACUUUUUAAAUUCUAAAAUGACAACCACUGACAAAAUGUUAUACCCUAAAAGUUAAACUACUUUUUCACUAAGCCACUGUUUUCCUGUCUCUUAUCAUUCCAGUAUCCAGGUGCUUAAAUUUAAUGGGCGUAGAAAAUCAAAUAUGUUAAUAAAGUCAAGCUAGAUUUGGUAAACUAGAUUUGGAGUUCAAAGUUCCUAGCGAAGUCUAUAUAACGUUUCAUAUGGUGCACUUUUCGUUUACCAAGAUGUGAACUUCAUUCUCUCCUCUGUGUCCUGAUUCCCACUUUUUCCAGUCUGCUCCUAGAAUCCACUGCAAUUAAAGAAACCUUAGAAAACUGCCUUAGAAUAUUUGAUUGAUUUGUUUUUAUAUUUUUUAAGAACCGAAAUCACAAAAGGGAGAGAUGUCUAAGAAUCUGGCUUGUUAUUACAUUCUUUAAAAGACCACCUUUGAAAGUGGGUGCAUAGUUUGUGUAUCCACUAUUCCCUAAUUUAUAUUUGUGUGAGUGUACUUUUUUCUAAUCAGUAUUACCACCAAGGAGCAACUAAUCUUCAAAUUUGCAAUUUACAUGAUUAGUGAUUGGCCCAAGAGGAGUAUUGAACAUAAAAUCCUUUAAGAUAAAACUGGGAAAUGGUGGAGGAUCUAUAUGAUUUAGUCUGGUUGUCUGGGUAUUUCUCAAUGGGGAAUAGCAGCAUCUUAAAGGCUGUUUAAGCAAGAAUGCUAAGGAUGGAAUGGUUGAAGAGAAUUGCCCUGUAAUGGUCAAAUUCCUCAGUUAUCUUGGAUG
This 1277-nucleotide long non-coding RNA is filed under the name Equus caballus (horse). RNAcentral describes it as "lncRNA (ENSECAG00000047038.1)". The record is from RNAcentral. Lineage: Eukaryota; Metazoa; Chordata; Mammalia; Perissodactyla; Equidae.